UGGCGGACGGGUGAGUAACGCGUGGGUAACCUGCCUCACACAGGGGGAGUAACAGUUGGAAACGACCGCUAAUACCGCAUAACCCGCUGGUACCGCAUGGUACUGACGGAAAAGAUUUAUCGGUGUGAGAUGGACCCGCGUCUGAUUAGCCAGUUGGCAGGGUAACGGCCUACCAAAGCGACGAUCAGUAGCCGGCCUGAGAGGGUGAACGGCCACAUUGGGACUGAGACACGGCCCAAACUCCUACGGAAGGCAGCAG
Molecule: ribosomal RNA, 259 nt
Filed under: uncultured bacterium
Lineage: Bacteria
Description: partial 16S ribosomal RNA
Rfam family: Bacterial small subunit ribosomal RNA
Source: RNAcentral